Molecule: Y RNA, 108 nt
Organism: Callithrix jacchus (white-tufted-ear marmoset)
Lineage: Eukaryota; Metazoa; Chordata; Mammalia; Primates; Cebidae
Rfam family: Y RNA
About the family: Y RNAs are components of the Ro ribonucleoprotein particle (Ro RNP), in association with Ro60 and La proteins. The Y RNAs and Ro60 and La proteins are well conserved, but the function of the Ro RNP is not known.
Source: Ensembl
GGCUGGUCUGAAGGUAGUGAGUUAUCUCCUUUGAUUGUUCACACAGUUACCAAUCAAACGCCUUGUUCUGCCUUUCCCCCACUCACGACUGCACCCAACUAGUGUUAA